UUAGGAAGUUAUAUACGUAACAAGGUUUCCGUAGGUGAACCUGCGGAAGGAUCAUUACUGAAAUGUAACAACUUCUAUUGAAAGGUUCCAGAGUAGGCGCUACAACGCCGAAAUGACCUUCUCACCCUUGUGUACUCACUAUGUUGCUUUGGCGGGUCGACCUGGUUCCGACCCAGGCGGCCGGCGCCCCCAGCCUUAACUGGCCAGGACGCCCGGCUAAGUGCCCGCCAGUAUACAAAACUCAAGAAUUCAUUUUGUGAAGUCCUGAUAUAUCAUUUAAUUGAUUAAAACUUUCAACAACGGAUCUCUUGGUUCUGGCAUCGAUGAAGAACGCAGCGAAAUGCGAUAAGUAAUGUGAAUUGCAGAAUUCAGUGAAUCAUCGAAUCUUUGAACGCACAUUGCGCCCUCUGGUAUUCCGGAGGGCAUGCCUGUUCGAGCGUCAUUUCAACCCUCAAGCUCUGCUUGGUAUUGGGCAACGUCCGCUGCCGGACGUGCCUUGAAGACCUCGGCGACGGCGUCCUAGCCUCGAGCGUAGUAGUAAAAUAUCUCGCUUUGGAGUGCUGGGCGACGGCCGCCGGACAAUCGACCUUCGGUCUAUUUUUCCAAGGUUGACCUCGGAUCAGGUAGCU
This 629-nucleotide ribosomal RNA is filed under the name Phyllosticta capitalensis. RNAcentral's name for it is "eukaryotic LSU rRNA". The stretch from base 289 to 442 matches the Rfam family "5.8S ribosomal RNA". The record is from RNAcentral. Lineage: Eukaryota; Fungi; Ascomycota; Dothideomycetes; Botryosphaeriales; Phyllostictaceae.